Non-coding RNA from Microcebus murinus (gray mouse lemur), 2901 nucleotides. Lineage: Eukaryota; Metazoa; Chordata; Mammalia; Primates; Cheirogaleidae. The record is from RefSeq and is a predicted model, not a curated record.
UGCUUCACGUGGCUCCAGGUUCAAAACUAGCCUGAGUUAAAUACAACUCACGUGGCAGUCAACGUGUUAAAAUCUGGCCGCAUGGGGUGAAUACACACUGGCUUUGCCAGUGGUUUCAGUUGGCCUAACUGACACCAGUCACACAUACAUCCAAGGCUGUGCUCUGCUCUGCUUUAGAGGGGGACAGAUGGUUCCACCCAGACGGCAAGGCAAGGCCAGGCUACAUGAAUCACUGCCCCAGACAGCGCGUGUUACCAUCAUGAGUGUCAGCGCUACAGCCAGGAUGAAUGACGGCCCACAGGGGACCACUAACUGUCUGCGGCUUUUCUCCUAUGAUCUGUGCACUCGCUCUGCAGAAAGACUCCCUGUGACGAUCAUCUGCACACUCUCUCAUAUCUCAGGGGUAAGAUUCCAGAAAUGGAUGGAUCUCACAUGUCCUUUGUGAGCUGAACAGCUGAUCCCCAGCUCGGGUUAAGUGGCUUGCCCUAGCACACCAAACUCAGUCCUAGUGGAACUGGGAUGAGUGUCACUGUCUUCUUUUUCCAGAAGGGUCUGUACUAUUAAAGAGGCCUGACUAUUCUUCCUGAUUGGGGUUUAAACAACAAUCAGGCAUUGGGGACAUAAGCCCUUUCACUCAGUCACACCUUGGAAUCAGUGGUUGCCCCAGUGGUCAUACAACCUGCUCCUUCAGGGCUGCCUGAGUCCAGCUGGGUCUCUGAGAUUCUCUGGAAUUAUGUCUCUAACCACUCAGAGAACAAGCAGGGGAGACAGAGAUCAAUGAAGCCAGCCCUAGUGUUAAUAAAUGUGAGGCUGAGUCUCCCCCAAAGCUCAGGAUAAAGAUGAUUACCUAGGUGGCUGGGUAGGCCCUCUAAAUGAAACAGAAAACCGCUAUGCUGCUCCCCUGAGCUCAAGCCACAAAGACAGAAUAUUAUGGUAGCAGCAGCUCAGCCCAUCCAUGAGGGAGCGAUUUCUGUGAAGGGUACUUUGCAAUUGAACAGCAGAAGCAAAAUCUGUCAACUAGAAAGCUUAGGAUUUGAAGCUCUGAAGGGCAUUUCCAAAGCUUCUUUUUUCCCUUGAGCACAAUUCCAGGAUGCACAUAACAUAGGAGCUUUCUCGUUUCUGUUUUUCUUCCCUCUUUAACAAAUAAGCUGUAGCACUAACAACAUCGAAAAGUUACUGAGCUUUUUGGUUUAAUCCUCAAACCCCCCUAACAGGUGGACACUAUUAACACAAUCUCCAUUUUACAGAAGGGAAGCUGAGACCGGGGAUGACUGUGAUAUUUGCCCAAGUCCCACAUCCCAUAAGUGACAAAGGAUUUAACAAGGAAAGGUUAACUCCAGAGCCUGGGGGCUCCAGUCCACGUGGGGCCUACGUGGCCUUGUUCGAACAGGCAGGGGUACGGAGCACAUAGCUGGCACUCCAGAAAUCUUUGAUGAAUGGAGAAUGAGUAAUUUUCAAGUUUUCUGUGUCGACUCUAUUAAAUGUAGCCUUUUCUCUCUCUCUUAGCAUCUGUCAGCUAUAUGAUGUUGCAAUUUUCUAACUUGUCUUCCUUCUCCUAGUUUCUUCCUAUUCUUUGUAGAAUAGCUGUGGACUAAAAAGGAGAUAAGUAGCUCUAUUUGCCCCACUGGGGCUCCCAUGUUUUCGUAUCUUUCAAAUCGUUCUAUUCUAACAAAUUUUAGUUAUUGGUUUGCAUGCCUCUUCCUCCAGGGCUUCUCAACUAUUGACAUGUGGGAAUAGAUAAUUCAUGACGGGGGUUAUGCUGAGCACUGCAGGAGGUUGAACAGCAUCCCUGGCCUUGGCCCACUGGUUGUCUGCAGCACCUGCCCAGCUGUGGCCACCUACAAGCUCUCCGGACAUUGCCAAAUGCCCCCUGGAGGCGACAUUCUCCACCCCACCCGCCACAGUAAGAACCACUGCUUGAAACUCUGAGCUCCCUGAAUAAUACUAACAGCAGUAACAGUAAUAACUCUGCUUUCGUGAACAUUCACUUUGUGGAAAGCAUGCUUUAAAGCCUUUCUCAUGAAUUACUGCAUUUAAUCCUCUCCACUCCCUAAGGGCCGAGGAUUUUAGCCACGUUUCACUGGUAAUGAAACCAGAGUGCAGAGAGGUUAGGAACUUGUUCAUCUUUUCUAUCGCCAACACCUGGCAUAUUACCUGGCCCAGCAGGACUCCAGUAGCAAUUCAGAGAAUGAGUGGAUGGAUGGAUGAGACGGUCCCCUCCAUCUUUCCUCACUUUUCAGGGACAGUGGCCCAACAGUGUCCUCCAGAGCCCAACAGUACUCCAUAAAGUGGUUUUAAUGUGCCAGAAAUCCAUCCCUAGCUAGGGCUCUUCUACGCUAUCCAGGCAUUUUAUGGGGGUCAUGUUAUUCUGGGUACUCUGUUUUUGUUAUUCAUAAUACGAAUCACACCUUACAGCUUAGCUUUAUGAGAAGUUCACUCAAUCCAGCCAAGAGACAUGACCAAAUAAAUGCCAUCAAUCUAUUUUCUACCCACCAGUCCUUCCUUUCAGACUUGGGUGAGAUAUAAUAGUACCAUUUCUCCAGCUUAGAACCCAGCACGCUGAAAACCCUUCUGAACGUGAAGACAAAUUACUUUUAAAUGCUGUGUUUCCCGUGAGCACUAGACACAGUGAUGCUCAGAGGCACACAGUGUAGGAACGCUUCCCUGGUCCCUACGUGUGGACGCCUUCCUCCUUAUGAAGCUAUCAGGGAACGGAAGGGCAAACCAUACUGAUUUUGUUCUUGAUUGACACAGAUUCAGCAAUGAAACCUGCUUAAUCUAUAUAGUGAGAAAGACCACAGAUAAGCACCAGUAGAAUCCUUAACCCAUAGUAGAUUGAUCAGAAAGUAUGCCAGGUCCAGCACUGACACUCGAAGGGUACAGGAGGAAGAACUAGAGAAA